This 597-nucleotide long non-coding RNA is filed under the name Mytilus galloprovincialis (Mediterranean mussel). Lineage: Eukaryota; Metazoa; Mollusca; Bivalvia; Mytilida; Mytilidae. The record is from RNAcentral.
GGUCUUUUCUCAAAUUCCAAAAAGAGGGCAGAUGUAUUUGAUUGGGCUAAGAGUAAAAAUACUUCAAUAGUGUGUUUCCAAGAAACUCAUAGUAAUAAAGACAUUGAAAAAAACUGGGAGGAUGAAUGGGGAAGCACAUGUUUUUUCAGUCAUAAAGACAGUAAAAGUGCAGGUGUCUCUGUUAUGUUUAAAAAGGGUCUGGAUUUUGUUGUGCAUAAUUCUGUUACUGAUGAUAAUGGUCGUUACAUUGUUUUAGAUUUAACAAUUUUUUCACAAAGAUUAAGUUUUGCCUGUUUGUAUGGUUAUAAUACUGAUGAACCUUCAUUCUUUGAUACACUUAUGCAGAACAUUUUAUCCUUUAAAAACACAAGUGUUUUAUUAUGUGGUGACUGGAAUGUUGUUUUAGAUAAAUUUAUGGAUACAUAUAAUAUCAAACAUAAUAGAAAUCCUAACUCCCGUAAAAAAAUUGAUGAAAUCAUUGAUGUAUUUGAACUACUUGACCCUUGGCGUACAUGCUAUCCAGAAGAUAGGAAAUAUACUUGGCGUCAGUCCUCACCUAUAAAACAAAGUCGUUUAGAUUAUUUUUUAAUUUCAGAA